CGUUAGCUAACUUCUUAAAAGCUUUAUAUUUUAGAAGAUGGAAGACCUGGAUGCUUCAUACUUUGUAUAUGGAUGCCUCAUGUUACGAAGUUUCCGUCAGUCACAUGUCCAAUGUCCUUGACCUCAUUUUCAUGGUUCAGUGACUACUUGAAAAAAAAGUUCAGAUUUUUUGUAAUGUUAAAUUCUCUCUUAUUAUAAGUAAUAGGAUAACAAUAUUUGGUAUGUGCGUACCUUGCAAGGUCCUCAUGCCCGUCAGACAGUUUUCACUUGACCUCAACCUCAUUUCAUGGAUCAGUGAACUAGGUUAAGUUUUCGUGGUCAAGUCCAUAUCUCAGAUACUAUAAGCAAUAGGUCUAGUAUAUUCGGUGUAUGGAAGGACUGUAAGGUGUACAUGUCCAACUGGCAGGUGUCAUCUGACCUUGACCUCAUUUUCAUGGUUCAGUGGUUAUAGUUAAGUUUUUGUGUUUUGGUCUGUUUUUCUUAUACUGUAUGCAAUAGGUCUACUAUAUUUGGUGUAUGGAAUGAUUGUAAGGUGUACAUGUCUAGCUGGCAGGUGUCAUCUUACCUUGACCUCAUUUUCAUGGUUCAGUGGUCAAAGUUAAGUUUUUGAGUUUGGGUCUUUUUUUCUAAUACUAUAUGCAAUAGUUCAACUAUAUUUGGUGUAUGGAAAUAUUUUAUGAUCUAUAUGUCAGUCACGCAGGUUUUAUUUGACCUUGACCUCAUUUUCAAGGUUCAUUGCUCAGUGUUAAGUUUUUGUGUUUUCGUCUGUUUUUCUUAAACUAUAAGCAAUAGGUCAACUAUAUUUGUUGUAUGGAAGAAUUGUUAGCUGUACAUGCCUGCCUAGCAUGGUUCAUCUGACCUUGACCUCAUUUUCAUGGUUCAUUGGUCAAUGUUUAGUUAACUUGGUUAAUGUUAAGUUUAUGUGACAGUUGUAAUAAAGCUUUAUAUUUAGGACUAUCAACAUAAUAUCAAUGAUUAGUAAAGAAGGCGAGACAUUUCAGCGUGUGCACUCUUGUUAUGUUUAUAAAGGGACAUAACUCAAGAAUGGUAAAAGUGUCGCCACCAAAUUUCGUACUUAAUCUGUAUUAUGUAGUAAUAAGCAUUGUGUAUAAGUUUCAUAACAUUUGGUUGUGGCAAACUAAAGUUAGAAAAUGGAAACAAAAAAUUUGUACUUGAUCUUAGUUUUGUGGUAAUGAAUAUUGUGUAUAGGUUUCAUAAUGUUUGGUUGGGGCAAACUUAAGUUACAGAAUGGAAACUAAAAAUUUAGCAAUCUUUCGAUUUAUAAAGGGGCGUAACUCAAUAAUGGUUAAAGUGACCCUACCCAAAUUCAACUUGAUCUGUAUUUUAUCAGUGGAAGUCAAAAUUAAACAUUGCAUUGUAUAAAGCAUUGAUUGUAGUUGAUUCAACUAUAAUCAUGGACAAAGGAAGAUAACUCCAAUUUUAAAAUUACUUGAUAUUUAGAAGAAAAUAAAAAUUUAGCAAUUUUUCCAUUUAUAAAGGGGCAUAACUCAAGAACGGUUUAAGUGACGCCACCAAAAUUCAAACUUGAUCUGUGUUUUGUGGUAAUAAGCAUUGUGUAUAAGUUUCAUAACAUUUGGUUGAGGCAUACUCAAAUUAGAGAACAGAAACGAAAAAUUCAACAAUUUUUCCAUUUGUAAAGGGGCAUAACUCUAGAACGGUAAAAGUGACGCUACCAAAAUUCAAAAUUGAUCUGUGUUUUGUGGUAAUAAGCAUUGUGUAUAAGUUUCAUAACAUUUGGUUGAGGCAAACUAAAGUCAGAGAACGGAAACCAAUUUUGGGACAUACGUACGUUAUGCCCCCUCCGCUACGGCGGGGGCAUAAAAAUAAAGUGUAACAAAAGAACCUAGCAUCAUAUUGCUAAUAGCGCCAGUAGCAUUGUUUGGUGAAUUUGUGCUUUUUUUUUUUCAGUUUGGCUAAUGGACAAAAAAUGUUUGGUUCAAAUCUAAAUAAAAUGCUUUUAUCUCCCUAUUA
Molecule: long non-coding RNA, 1992 nt
Organism: Mytilus californianus (California mussel)
Lineage: Eukaryota; Metazoa; Mollusca; Bivalvia; Mytilida; Mytilidae
Exons: 2
Source: RefSeq, a predicted model, not a curated record